RNAcentral lists this ribosomal RNA (251 nucleotides) under uncultured prokaryote. Its description in RNAcentral is "partial 16S ribosomal RNA". It matches the Rfam family "Bacterial small subunit ribosomal RNA", at positions 525 to 775 of the family's 1533-position model. The record is from RNAcentral.
ACGUAGGUGACAAGCGUUGUCCGGAUUUAUUGGGCGUAAAGGGAGCGCAGGCGGUCUGUUUAGUCUAAUGUGAAAGCCCACGGCUUAACCGUGGAACGGCAUUGGAAACUGACAGACUUGAAUGUAGAAGAGGAAAAUGGAAUUCCAAGUGUAGCGGUGGAAUGCGUAGAUAUUUGGAGGAACACCAGUGGCGAAGGCGAUUUUCUGGUCUAACAUUGACGCUGAGGCUCGAAAGCGUGGGGAGCGAACAG